RNAcentral lists this ribosomal RNA (253 nucleotides) under uncultured bacterium. RNAcentral's name for it is "partial 16S ribosomal RNA". It matches the Rfam family "Bacterial small subunit ribosomal RNA", at positions 524 to 776 of the family's 1533-position model. The record is from RNAcentral.
UACGAGUGCCCCAAGCGUUAUCCGGAAUUACUGGGCGUAAAGGGCGCGUAGGCGGCCUGUUAAGUCGAACGUGAAAUCCCCGGGCUCAACCCGGGAACUGCGUCCGAUACUGGUAGGCUUGAAUCCGGGAGAGGGAUGCGGAAUUCCAGGUGUAGCGGUGAAAUGCGUAGAUAUCUGGAGGAACACCGGUGGCGAAGGCGGCAUCCUGGACCGGCAUUGACGCUGAGGCGCGAAAGCCAGGGGAGCAAACGGG